UACGGGGGGAGCAAGCGUUGUUCGGAAUCACUGGGCGUAAAGGGAGUGUAGGCGGUUCGGUAAGUGGGAUGUGAAAUCCCCGGGCUCACCCCGGGACCUGCAUCCCAAACUGCUGAGCUUGAGUACAGGAGAGGGUGGGGGAAUUCCAGGUGUAGCGGUGAAAUGCGUAGAUAUCUGGAGGAACACCGGUGGCGAAGGCGCCCACCUGGCCUGCUACUGACGCUGAAACUCGAAAGCUAGGGGAGCAAACGGG
RNAcentral lists this ribosomal RNA (253 nucleotides) under uncultured bacterium. Its description in RNAcentral is "partial 16S ribosomal RNA". It matches the Rfam family "Bacterial small subunit ribosomal RNA", at positions 524 to 776 of the family's 1533-position model. The record is from RNAcentral.